This 468-nucleotide ribosomal RNA is filed under the name uncultured bacterium. RNAcentral's name for it is "partial 16S ribosomal RNA". It matches the Rfam family "Bacterial small subunit ribosomal RNA", at positions 28 to 507 of the family's 1533-position model. The record is from RNAcentral.
GACGAACGCUGGCGGCGUGCUUAACACAUGCAAGUCGAACGGAAAGGCCCUGCUUUUGUGGGGUGCUCGUGUGGCGAACGGGUGAGUAACACGUGAGUAACCUGCCCUUGACUUUGGGAUAACUUCAGGAAACUGGGGCUAAUACCGGAUAGGAGCUCCUGCUGCAUGGUGGGGGUUGGAACGUUUCGGCGGUUGGGGAUGGACUCGCGGCUUAUCCGCUUGUUGGUGGGGUAGUGGCUUACCAAGGCUUUGACGGGUAGCCGGCCUGAGAGGGUGACCGGCCACAUUGGGACUGAGAUACGGCCCAGACUCCUACGGGAGGCAGCAGUGGGGAAUAUUGCACAAUGGGCGGAAGCCUGAUGCAGCAACGCCGCGUGCGGGAUGACGGCCUUCGGGUGGUAAACCGCUUUCGCCUGUAACGAAGCGUGAGUGACGGUAAUGAGUAAAGAAGCACCGGCUAACUACGUG